RNAcentral lists this ribosomal RNA (494 nucleotides) under uncultured bacterium. RNAcentral's name for it is "partial 16S ribosomal RNA". It matches the Rfam family "Bacterial small subunit ribosomal RNA", at positions 29 to 507 of the family's 1533-position model. The record is from RNAcentral.
ACGAACGCUGGCGGCGUGCCUAAUACAUGCAAGUAGAACGCUGAAGGAGGAGCUUGCUUCUCUGGAUGAGUUGCGAACGGGUGAGUAACGCGUAGGUAACCUGCCUGGUAGCGGGGGAUAACUAUUGGAAACGAUAGCUAAUACCGCAUAAUAGCAGUUGUUGCAUGACAACUGUUUGAAAGGUGCAAUUGCACCACUACCAGAUGGACCUGCGUUGUAUUAGCUAGUUGGUGGGGUAACGGCUCACCAAGGCGACGAUACAUAGCCGACCUGAGAGGGUGGUCGGCCACACUGGGACUGAGACACGGCCCAGACUCCUCCGGGAGGCAGCAGUAGGGAAUCUUCGGCAAUGGACGGAAGUCUGACCGAGCCACGCCGCGUGAGUGCAGAAGGUUUUCGGAUCGUAAAGCUCUGUUGUAAGAGAAGAACGAGUGUGAGAGUGGAAAGUUCACACUGUGACGGUAUCUUACCAGAAAGGGACGGCUAACUACGUG